Molecule: ribosomal RNA, 497 nt
Filed under: uncultured bacterium
Lineage: Bacteria
Description: partial 16S ribosomal RNA
Rfam family: Bacterial small subunit ribosomal RNA
Source: RNAcentral
GAUGAACGCUGGCGGCGUGCCUAAUACAUGCAAGUCGAGCGAACAGACGAGGAGCUUGCUCCUCUGACGUUAGCGGCGGACGGGUGAGUAACACGUGGAUAACCUACCUAUAAGACUGGGAUAACUUCGGGAAACCGGAGCUAAUACCGGAUAAUAUAUUGAACCGCAUGGUUCAAUAGUGAAAGACGGUUUUGCUGUCACUUCUAGCUGGAUCCGCGCCGCAUUAGCUAGUUGGUAAGGUAACGGCUUACCAAGGCGACGAUGCGUAGCCGACCUGUGAGGGUGAUCGGCCACACUGGAACUUAGACACGGUCCAGACUCCUACGGGAGGCAGCAGUAGGCAAUCUUCCGCAAUGGGCGAAAGCCUGACGGAGCAACGCCGCGUGAGUGAUGACGGUCUUCGGAUCGUAAAACUCUGUUAUUAGUGAUGAACAAAUGUGUAAGUAACUAUGCACGUCUUGACGGUACCUAAUCAGAAAGCCACGGCUAACUACGUG